RNAcentral lists this ribosomal RNA (330 nucleotides) under uncultured bacterium. Its description in RNAcentral is "bacterial SSU rRNA". It matches the Rfam family "Bacterial small subunit ribosomal RNA", at positions 568 to 898 of the family's 1533-position model. The record is from RNAcentral.
UCCGUAGGCGGUGUGGCAAGUCGGUAGUGAAAUCUCUCGGCUUAACUGAGAGGCUGCUGCCGAAACUGCCAUGCUCGAGUGCGAGAGAGGCGAGUGGAAUUGCGGGUGUAGCGGUGAAAUGCGUAGAUAUCCGCAGGAACAUCCGAGGCGAAAGCGGCUCGCUGGAUCGCAACUGACUCUGAGGGACGAAAGCUAGGGGAGCAAACAGGAUUAGAUACCCUGGUAGUCCUAGCCCUAAACCAUCAGGACUUGGGGUUUGCCCUGUACGGGGCAAGUCCCGGAGCUAACGCGUUAAGUCCUGCGCCUGGGGAGUACGGUCGCAAGGCUGAA